UGUACAGUGUCUUGUUUUAUAGUUUUAUAGUUUAUAGAUUCUUGUUGGAGAUUUUGAUUCAUCUUAGUGAUUUGAAUCUUGAAUUAUUUUUAUUUUUUUUAAGAGUUGUUCAUGACUAAAACUAACUUAUUGUUGUCCCAGUAUAUUUAAAUAUUUAUAUUUAAAUAUUUAAAUAAACAUCUAGGUCAAUGCUACCACAUCAAUGCUAACGCAGUCUCUGUUUACUGCUAUCUCUGCUCUAGGCUCGUUCUGAUUCUGAAAGAACACAGAUACAGAGGAAUGAACUGAUAUGUGUAUCUCUGGCAGACCGAUCUCUCAUUUUUGGAGCAUAUUAAAUGUCUACUAACGCUAUUUGUGGCUAAGUUAUCUCACCUCUGUUAUUGUCUUGAAAUCUUAUCAUCAUCUUUGUUUAAACAGAGAGGCCAGCACAUUCCUGUUCUGUUCCUGUUGUUUCCCCUUCAUCCAAAAUGUUGGUUUGGUGCUCGACUCCAUAGACAACAAACUGAAAAAAAUUAUAAAAAUAAAAUACAGAUCGAUCAUUGUAAUAAGUGUUUUAUCAAGCUUAAAAGUAAGUCAUAAUGUACUGCUAUCUCCUUUUGUGUCUCUUACAAAAAAUAAAGUCAUGUGGGUUUGGAAAGAGAUGAGGGUGGAGGGGCAGAGGAUCAGACAGACAGGAGGAACCAAGACUCAUUUCUACACAGAUGGACAUGUAAAAAGAGCACAAAUGGAGAAUUUUGAAGCAUCUUCAGACAGCUUUUUUCUAUACAACGGUGAUCAAAAGUGUUUUUUACGCAGUUUUUUAGACCUGGAUGAUGUAAAUGUAUGCAACACCCCUGAAAAUGCUUUUAUUAUCAUUACUGAUUGGUAAAGCGGCCAGCUUUGGCAUCAUGUGACAAGUUCAGCUCAGACGGAACUGCCAGUGUAAAUGUAAGUAACCCAACACACACACACACACACACACACACACACACAGAGAGAUUUGAGAUGAGUGUUAAUCUCUAAGGUGUGUUAGGAAAGCACAGAAGGAAGGAGAUAUCAAAUUAAGCUCACGUAAAACUUAUUUACUAAAAAACAUCCUAGUAAAAUUUAGAUUAGCAAAAAUUCCAUGUCAUUCUAGUUUUAGCCCAAUGCGACGGGCUUCAUGAGAAGGAUAACAUGAUAAAGACUUGUUUGAACAUAUAAUCUCUGAGGAAAGAUUCCUCUGAGUUAAAUGUUAUGCACAUCCAACCAUGUUGAAUAUUUACUUCAUCUCUCACAUAGCUCUCUCAAACGUUAAUACUGAGACAAAGAAACGCAUACACGCAGCUAAAAAUAAAUUGGCAUGCAUAGUCA
This is a long non-coding RNA of Cyprinus carpio (common carp), 1332 nucleotides long. Lineage: Eukaryota; Metazoa; Chordata; Actinopteri; Cypriniformes; Cyprinidae. The record is from Ensembl.